CAAGUGCGACCUCUGAACGGGUUAUUAUAAUAUGAAUAAAAAAAUUUCAGAUUUUGGAUUGGCACGAAUCGUUGAAGUGACAGAGUAUAGCAAAUACGCACAAGGUCGUGGAAACACGUAUGUCUCCAAAGUAUGCCAUGGGUGCGAUAUUUUCUGAAAAAUCUGAUGUCUAUAGUUUUGACGUCUUGCUAUUGGAGAUUAUCGCCAACAAAAAGAAUACUAGCUUCUAUUGCAACGAGGAACAGCAUGGAUUCUUAGCUCAUGCAACAUUCACGAUAUGACUUUUGCCGGGUUCGGCACUUAUGGAAUGAAGGCAGGGGACUGGACUUGCUAGAUGAAGUACUGUUGGAUUCAUAUUCGUCCUCAGAAGCAAUGAGAUGCAUACACAUCGGACUCCUUUGCGUGCAGGACAACUGGACAAGUCUGAAGAUAGGCCAACCAUGCCGGACGUAGUUUUCACUAAGUAGCUUUCGAUCAAAGGAACACUUGAGCCUUAUUGCAUUUGUAAGUACACACAUGAUGUUUCAAAUGCGAAGUGCACGCUAUUACGUCUCUAAUUCGUAGCUGCAACAUUGGAACGGUACUUUGGAAUGUUUUCAGUCACCCACAUAUUCUCAUACUAUUGUAUAUGCAAAGAUAAGAGGACUACGUUUUCAGUCAAAUGUCAAACAUC
This is a non-coding RNA of Malus domestica (apple), 673 nucleotides long. NCBI's taxonomy places the organism in Eukaryota, Viridiplantae, Streptophyta, Magnoliopsida, Rosales, Rosaceae. The record is from RefSeq and is a predicted model, not a curated record.